RNAcentral lists this unclassified non-coding RNA (273 nucleotides) under Hevea brasiliensis (rubber tree). Lineage: Eukaryota; Viridiplantae; Streptophyta; Magnoliopsida; Malpighiales; Euphorbiaceae. The record is from RNAcentral.
UGCGAGAAUGGAGCAGACGAGCAAUUGCUGCCGCUGCAUGAGUCUUUCCAGACUCUGUGCCCUCAUGCAAAACUCUAGUUGCAGGCAGAAUAAUUUCUUCAGGAAUGGCUUUCUCUGAAGCUUCACCAUCCAAAAUAAGAUUUGCCAGUGCACAUGUUGCCUGCUCUGCAACUUCCAAAGCUGAGGAGUUAGCAAGCAUGACUAAGGAAGACAAUGCAUCUCGAGCAACAGCAGCCACAUCUCGGUUCUCUUUAAUUGACAGAAAAAUGGCGG